UAGACUAAGCACAAACAAGUAAUCAUUACAAAGAUACCUUCAAAAAUAGGUUCAAAUUUGACUUAAAAUUAACAACCAAAGCAAGAAUGAAAGCUCAAAAUACCAAGACACAUAUGUCUACAAGUGUGUAAAAUUUUGGGUCAAAAUUCAAAGGAGAAAAUUAAAAAAUCAAACCCUAACAAAGUAAGCUAGCAUAAAUAGAUACAUGUAAUAAAAAAAAUGGAAUAAAUAUUAAAAUAAAUUUAAAAAGAAAAUAAAUAAUAUGAAAAAUUAAGUAACACUUAAAAUGUCCCUCAUAAAUUAAAUCAACAUUUUUAGCCUAAAA
RNAcentral lists this long non-coding RNA (325 nucleotides) under Lathyrus oleraceus (garden pea). Its description in RNAcentral is "Pisum sativum (pea) long non-coding RNA (PSAT_LNC019412)". Lineage: Eukaryota; Viridiplantae; Streptophyta; Magnoliopsida; Fabales; Fabaceae. The record is from RNAcentral.